UGAUAUCUCAAACGUUGGCUGAAACAAUUAUUACUUCUCUGUCUCAAAUUGAAUCCCAACUCAAAUGAAUGGUGAUUAGUCAAUUCACAAGCAUUAAGUCCAAAAUGAAAUACUCAACAAUUGGAACAAAUAUCAGUUAAUUCAAGUAAAGGAAGAUUCACAUAAUUUUAGUUAGGCUACAUCUCAAACUCUAAAAGAUAGAAAUUAAUUCAUGCUAAAAUUAAAGAAAAGUUUAAAUAAAGAGUUAACAUCAAGAAAUUGAAAGAGAUGGGAAGAAGGAAAAACUCAGUGAAUCUGGUCUCAUGUUUCCUUGAAGUGGCUUCCCUCUUUUGAUAGCCAAAAAGGAAGAAAAAGAAUCGAUCCACCUUGGUCCCAGCCUUCUUGGUCGUCCUCUGCUUUUUUUCCCUCUUCAACUCCUUUCAAGCCAUCUUCACCAAGAAAAGAAAGAAUCAAUCCCCAAUUCGCCUCUUCAACUCGGCAGAUUUUUAGCCUUGGAUUGUGGGCCGUUUUUCACUUAGAAAACGUGAGAAUUUCAAAAUCUCUAUUUCAUGAGAAAUUGUAGCACGUUAAAUUAGCUUUCCAAGGCCUCUUGAAUCAGCUCAAUACGACAUCAGAUGAGGGAGAUAUGGUGAAAAUACGAAGGGCAGUACAGAUGUGUUUCCAAUUCGGGAUUUCUUCACAGCAAGAGACGUCUUCCACAGAUUUUGCUCCCUUCGUUAAUCUUUCCAAUCUAUUUUAUUUUGAUUGGGCUGGGUUAAGUCCACUUGAAUUGAGUCCUCUCUUAUGGGCCUUGAACUUUGUUAUUUUUGGACUCCAUUUCUACAAUAAAAUUGUAAACACCACAAUUAGGAUUGACCUUCAU
Molecule: long non-coding RNA, 862 nt
Filed under: Olea europaea subsp. europaea
Lineage: Eukaryota; Viridiplantae; Streptophyta; Magnoliopsida; Lamiales; Oleaceae
Source: RNAcentral